CCUACGGGAGGCAGCAGUGGGGAAUAUUGCACAAUGGGGGAAACCCUGAUGCAGCGACGCCGCGUGAGUGAAGAAGUAUUUCGGUAUGUAAAGCUCUAUCAGCAGGGAAGAAAAUGACGGUACCUGACCAAGAAGCCCCGGCUAACUACGUGCCAGCAGCCGCGGUAAUACGUAGGGGGCAAGCGUUAUCCGGAUUUACUGGGUGUAAAGGGAGCGUAGACGGUUGUGCAAGUCAGAAGUGAAAGCCCGGGGCUCAACUCCGGGACUGCUUUUGAAACUGUGAAACUGGAGUGCAGGAGAGGUAAGCGGAAUUCCUGGUGUAGCGGUGAAAUGCGUAGAUAUCAGGAGGAACACCAGUGGCGAAGGCGGCUUACUGGACUGUAACUGACGUUGAGGCUCGAAAGCGUGGGGAGCAAACAGGAUUAGAUACCCCGGUAGU
RNAcentral lists this ribosomal RNA (439 nucleotides) under uncultured bacterium. RNAcentral describes it as "bacterial SSU rRNA". It matches the Rfam family "Bacterial small subunit ribosomal RNA", at positions 338 to 794 of the family's 1533-position model. The record is from RNAcentral.